Molecule: ribosomal RNA, 264 nt
Filed under: uncultured Roseburia sp.
Lineage: Bacteria; Bacillati; Bacillota; Clostridia; Lachnospirales; Lachnospiraceae
Description: partial 16S ribosomal RNA
Rfam family: Bacterial small subunit ribosomal RNA
Source: RNAcentral
AAUGAAGAUUUUGUGACUGAGUGGCGGACGGGUGAGUAACGCGUGGGUAACCUGCCUCAUACAGGGGGAUAACAGUUGGAAACGACUGCUAAUACCGCAUAAGCGCACAGGGUCGCAUGACCUGGUGUGAAAAACUCCGGUGGUGUGAGAUGGACCCGCGUCUGAUUAGCUAGUUGGCAGGGCAGCGGCCUACCAAGGCGACGAUCAGUAGCCGACCUGAGAGGGUGACCGGCCACAUUGGGACUGAGACACGGUCCAGACUCC